GACGAACGCUGGCGGCGUGCCUAACACAUGCAAGUCGAACGGAGUAAAGCGCUGAUUUGAGAUUAGCUUGCUAAUGGAUUUUCUUGUUUUACUUAGUGGCGGACGGGUGAGUAACGCGUGAGGAACCUGCCCUCCAGAGGGGGACAACAGUUGGAAACGACUGCUAAUACCGCAUGAAGUAUCUCUGGGACAUCCCUAAGAUACCAAAGGAGCAAUCCGCUGAAGGAUGGCCUCGCGUCCGAUUAGAUAGUUGGUGGGGUAACGGCCCACCAAGUCGACGAUCGGUAGCCGGACUGAGAGGUUGAACGGCCACAUUGGGACUGAGACACGGCCCAGACUCCUACGGGAGGCAGCAGUGGGGGAUAUUGCACAAUGGGGGAAACCCUGAUGCAGCAACGCCGCGUGAAGGAAGAAGGUCUUCGGAUUGUAAACUUCUGUUUUUUAGUGUAAGAAACAAAUGACGGUAGCUAAAGAGGAAGCCACGGCUAACUACGUG
RNAcentral lists this ribosomal RNA (496 nucleotides) under uncultured bacterium. RNAcentral describes it as "bacterial SSU rRNA". It matches the Rfam family "Bacterial small subunit ribosomal RNA", at positions 28 to 507 of the family's 1533-position model. The record is from RNAcentral.